UCGGAGCCGCUGCCGCCGAGUCCGGAUUCAACCUCGCGCGCCGCUGACGCCUGCCCACCCGACGUGCACUCCCGAUUCCUUUUGGUUCUAAGUCCAAAAUGGCAACUCUCAAAGAUCAGCUGAUUCAGAAUCUUCUUAAGGACGAACAUACCCCCCAGAAUAAGAUCACAGUUGUUGGGGUUGGUGCUGUUGGCAUGGCUUGUGCCAUCAGUAUCUUAAUGAAGGACUUGGCAGAUGAACUUGCUCUUGUUGAUGUCAUGGAAGACAAACUGAAGGGAGAAAUGAUGGCUCUCCAGCACGGCAGCCUUUUCCUUAGAACACCAAAAAUUGUCUCUGGCAAAGAUUAUAAUGUGACUGCAAACUCCAAGCUGGUUAUUAUCACAGCUGGGGCACGUCAGCAAGAGGGAGAAAGCCGUCUUAAUUUGGUCCAGCGUAACGUGAACAUCUUUAAGUUCAUCAUUCCUAAUAUCGUAAAAUAUAGCCCAAACUGCAAGUUGCUUGUCGUUUCCAAUCCAGUGGAUAUCUUGACCUAUGUGGCUUGGAAGAUAAGUGGCUUUCCCAAAAACCCGUGUUAUUGGAAGUGGUUGCAAUCUGGAUUCAGCCCGGUUCCGUUACCUAAUGGGGGAAAGACUGGGAGUUCACCCAUUAAGCUGUCACGGGUGGGUCCUUGGGGAACAUGGAGACUCCAGUGUGCCUGUAUGGAGUGGAGUGAACGUUGCUGGUGUCUCUCUGAAGAAUCUGCACCCUGACUUAGGCACUGAUGCAGAUAAGGAACAGUGGAAAGAGGUUCACAGACAGGUGGUUGACAGUGCCUAUGAGGUGAUCAAACUGAAAGGCUACACCUCCUGGGCCAUUGGACUGUCUGUGGCAGAUGCCGAAAGUAUAAUGAAGAAUCUCAGGCGGGUGCAUCCAAUUUCCACCAAGAUUAAGGGUCUCUAUGGAAUUAAAGAUGAUGUCUUCCUUAGUGUCCCUUGCAUCUUGGGACAGAAUGGAAUUUCAGAUGUUGUGAAGGUGACUCUGACUUCUGAGGAGGAGGCCCGUUUGAAGAAGAGUGCAGAUACACUUUGAGGGAUCCAAAAGGAGCUGCAGUUUUAAAGUUUUCUAAUGUACCACUUCACUGUCUAGACUGUAGCAGGAUUUUAGUUGGAGGUUGUGUAUAUUGUCCUUAUUAUCUGAUCUGUUACUCAAGUAAUAUUAAAAUGGCCUAAGAAAAAAACGUC
Molecule: RNA transcript, 1220 nt
Organism: Zalophus californianus (California sea lion)
Lineage: Eukaryota; Metazoa; Chordata; Mammalia; Carnivora; Otariidae
Gene name: L-lactate dehydrogenase A chain-like
Exons: 1
Source: RefSeq, a predicted model, not a curated record